This 2930-nucleotide ribosomal RNA is filed under the name Escherichia coli. RNAcentral describes it as "23S ribosomal RNA". It matches the Rfam family "Bacterial large subunit ribosomal RNA". Lineage: Bacteria; Pseudomonadati; Pseudomonadota; Gammaproteobacteria; Enterobacterales; Enterobacteriaceae. The record is from RNAcentral.
GGGUUGUGAGGUUAAGCGACUAAGCGUACACGGUGGAUGCCCUGGCAGUCAGAGGCGAUGAAGGACGUGCUAAUCUGCGAUAAGCGUCGGUAAGGUGAUAUGAACCGUUAUAACCGGCGAUUUCCGAAUGGGGAAACCCAGUGUGUUUCGACACACUAUCAUUAACUGAAUCCAUAGGUUAAUGAGGCGAACCGGGGGAACUGAAACAUCUAAGUACCCCGAGGAAAAGAAAUCAACCGAGAUUCCCCCAGUAGCGGCGAGCGAACGGGGAGCAGCCCAGAGCCUGAAUCAGUGUGUGUGUUAGUGGAAGCGUCUGGAAAGGCGCGCGAUACAGGGUGACAGCCCCGUACACAAAAAUGCACAUGCUGUGAGCUCGAUGAGUAGGGCGGGACACGUGGUAUCCUGUCUGAAUAUGGGGGGACCAUCCUCCAAGGCUAAAUACUCCUGACUGACCGAUAGUGAACCAGUACCGUGAGGGAAAGGCGAAAAGAACCCCGGCGAGGGGAGUGAAAAAGAACCUGAAACCGUGUACGUACAAGCAGUGGGAGCACGCUUAGGCGUGUGACUGCGUACCUUUUGUAUAAUGGGUCAGCGACUUAUAUUCUGUAGCAAGGUUAACCGAAUAGGGGAGCCGAAGGGAAACCGAGUCUUAACUGGGCGUUAAGUUGCAGGGUAUAGACCCGAAACCCGGUGAUCUAGCCAUGGGCAGGUUGAAGGUUGGGUAACACUAACUGGAGGACCGAACCGACUAAUGUUGAAAAAUUAGCGGAUGACUUGUGGCUGGGGGUGAAAGGCCAAUCAAACCGGGAGAUAGCUGGUUCUCCCCGAAAGCUAUUUAGGUAGCGCCUCGUGAAUUCAUCUCCGGGGGUAGAGCACUGUUUCGGCAAGGGGGUCAUCCCGACUUACCAACCCGAUGCAAACUGCGAAUACCGGAGAAUGUUAUCACGGGAGACACACGGCGGGUGCUAACGUCCGUCGUGAAGAGGGAAACAACCCAGACCGCCAGCUAAGGUCCCAAAGUCAUGGUUAAGUGGGAAACGAUGUGGGAAGGCCCAGACAGCCAGGAUGUUGGCUUAGAAGCAGCCAUCAUUUAAAGAAAGCGUAAUAGCUCACUGGUCGAGUCGGCCUGCGCGGAAGAUGUAACGGGGCUAAACCAUGCACCGAAGCUGCGGCAGCGACACUAUGUGUUGUUGGGUAGGGGAGCGUUCUGUAAGCCUGUGAAGGUGUACUGUGAGGUAUGCUGGAGGUAUCAGAAGUGCGAAUGCUGACAUAAGUAACGAUAAAGCGGGUGAAAAGCCCGCUCGCCGGAAGACCAAGGGUUCCUGUCCAACGUUAAUCGGGGCAGGGUGAGUCGACCCCUAAGGCGAGGCCGAAAGGCGUAGUCGAUGGGAAACAGGUUAAUAUUCCUGUACUUGGUGUUACUGCGAAGGGGGGACGGAGAAGGCUAUGUUGGCCGGGCGACGGUUGUCCCGGUUUAAGCGUGUAGGCUGGUUUUCCAGGCAAAUCCGGAAAAUCAAGGCUGAGGCGUGAUGACGAGGCACUACGGUGCUGAAGCAACAAAUGCCCUGCUUCCAGGAAAAGCCUCUAAGCAUCAGGUAACAUCAAAUCGUACCCCAAACCGACACAGGUGGUCAGGUAGAGAAUACCAAGGCGCUUGAGAGAACUCGGGUGAAGGAACUAGGCAAAAUGGUGCCGUAACUUCGGGAGAAGGCACGCUGAUAUGUAGGUGAAGUCCCUCGCGGAUGGAGCUGAAAUCAGUCGAAGAUACCAGCUGGCUGCAACUGUUUAUUAAAAACACAGCACUGUGCAAACACGAAAGUGGACGUAUACGGUGUGACGCCUGCCCGGUGCCGGAAGGUUAAUUGAUGGGGUUAGCGCAAGCGAAGCUCUUGAUCGAAGCCCCGGUAAACGGCGGCCGUAACUAUAACGGUCCUAAGGUAGCGAAAUUCCUUGUCGGGUAAGUUCCGACCUGCACGAAUGGCGUAAUGAUGGCCAGGCUGUCUCCACCCGAGACUCAGUGAAAUUGAACUCGCUGUGAAGAUGCAGUGUACCCGCGGCAAGACGGAAAGACCCCGUGAACCUUUACUAUAGCUUGACACUGAACAUUGAGCCUUGAUGUGUAGGAUAGGUGGGAGGCUUUGAAGUGUGGACGCCAGUCUGCAUGGAGCCGACCUUGAAAUACCACCCUUUAAUGUUUGAUGUUCUAACGUUGACCCGUGAUCCGGGUUGCGGACAGUGUCUGGUGGGUAGUUUGACUGGGGCGGUCUCCUCCUAAAGAGUAACGGAGGAGCACGAAGGUUGGCUAAUCCUGGUCGGACAUCAGGAGGUUAGUGCAAUGGCAUAAGCCAGCUUGACUGCGAGCGUGACGGCGCGAGCAGGUGCGAAAGCAGGUCAUAGUGAUCCGGUGGUUCUGAAUGGAAGGGCCAUCGCUCAACGGAUAAAAGGUACUCCGGGGAUAACAGGCUGAUACCGCCCAAGAGUUCAUAUCGACGGCGGUGUUUGGCACCUCGAUGUCGGCUCAUCACAUCCUGGGGCUGAAGUAGGUCCCAAGGGUAUGGCUGUUCGCCAUUUAAAGUGGUACGCGAGCUGGGUUUAGAACGUCGUGAGACAGUUCGGUCCCUAUCUGCCGUGGGCGCUGGAGAAUUGAGGGGGGCUGCUCCUAGUACGAGAGGACCGGAGUGGACGCAUCACUGGUGUUCGGGUUGUCAUGCCAAUGGCACUGCCCGGUAGCUAAAUGCGGAAGAGAUAAGUGCUGAAAGCAUCUAAGCACGAAACUUGCCCCGAGAUGAGUUCUCCCUGACUCCUUGAGAGUCCUGAAGGAACGUUGAAGACGACGACGUUGAUAGGCCGGGUGUGUAAGCGCAGCGAUGCGUUGAGCUAACCGGUACUAAUGAACCGUGAGGCUUAACCUUACAACGCCGAAGGUGUUU